GUUUAUAUAGUGGAGCACGGUAUGGCGCUGUCAUUAAUGGCGCGGACAAGUGAGGAACUGUCAACUCACUAUGGACUGUCAGAGUCGCCGUGAAAACGUUAUGUCGCCGGGUGGCUGUCCAAUUACCAGGGUUGACUAUGCCCUGUGCGGGACAAUGCCCCUAGGUAGCCGUGCCGCAUGUCCGUGUCAGAGCUGACAACGUCUGGCGGCUGUACGGUGGUUGG
Molecule: long non-coding RNA, 224 nt
Filed under: Elaeis guineensis (African oil palm)
Lineage: Eukaryota; Viridiplantae; Streptophyta; Magnoliopsida; Arecales; Arecaceae
Description: long non-coding RNA (EGUI_LNC013096)
Source: RNAcentral